GUUACGCUGGCCGGCGUGCUUAACACAUGCAAGUCGAACGAUGGAACCACUUCGGUGGGGAUUAGUGGCGAACGGGUGAGUAACACGUGGGCAAUCUGCCCUUCACUCUGGGACAAGCCCUGGAAACGGGGUCUAAUACCGGAUAAUACUUCUCUCCUCCUGGGAGGGUUGUUGAAAGCUCCGGCGGUGAAGGAUGAGCCCGCGGCCUAUCAGCUUGUUGGUGAGGUAGUGGCUCACCAAGGCGACGACGGGUAGCCGGCCUGAGAGGGCGACCGGCCACACUGGGACUGAGACACGGCCCAGACUCCUACGGGAGGCAGCAGUGGGGAAUAUUGCACAAUGGGCGAAAGCCUGAUGCAGCGACGCCGCGUGAGGGAUGACGGCCUUCGGGUUGUAAACCUCUUUCAGCAGGGAAGAAGCGAAAGUGACGGUACCUGCAGAAGAAGCGCCGGCUAACUACGUGCCAGCAGCCGCGGUAAUACGUAGGGCGCAAGCGUUGUCCGGAAUUAUUGGGCGUAAAGAGCUCGUAGGCGGCUUGUCACGUCGGGUGUGAAAGCCCGGGGCUUAACCCCGGGUCUGCAUUCGAUACGGGCUACUAGAGUGUGGUAGGGGAGAUCGGAAUUCCUGGUGUAGCGGUGAAAUGCGCAAAUAUCAGAGGAACACCGGUGGCGAAGGCGGAUCUCUGGGCCAUUACUGACCUGAGGAGCGAAAGCGUGGGGAGCGAACAGGAUUAAUACCCUGGUAGUCCAC
Molecule: ribosomal RNA, 750 nt
Filed under: Streptomyces sp. BC595
Lineage: Bacteria; Bacillati; Actinomycetota; Actinomycetes; Kitasatosporales; Streptomycetaceae
Description: bacterial SSU rRNA
Rfam family: Bacterial small subunit ribosomal RNA
Source: RNAcentral